This 253-nucleotide ribosomal RNA is filed under the name uncultured bacterium. Its description in RNAcentral is "partial 16S ribosomal RNA". It matches the Rfam family "Bacterial small subunit ribosomal RNA", at positions 524 to 776 of the family's 1533-position model. The record is from RNAcentral.
UACGUAGGGGGCGAGCGUUGUCCGGAUUUAUUGGGCGUAAAGAGCGUGUAGGCGGCCAGGUAGGUCUGCUGUGAAAACUCGAGGCUCAACCUCGAGACGUCGGCGGAAACCAUCUGGCUAGAGUCCGGAAGAGGAGAGUGGAAUUCCUGGUGUAGCGGUGAAAUGCGCAGAUAUCAGGAAGAACACCAAUGGCGAAGGCAGCUCUCUGGGACGGUACUGACACUGAGACGCGAAAGCGUGGGGAGCGAACAGG